Molecule: ribosomal RNA, 253 nt
Filed under: uncultured bacterium
Lineage: Bacteria
Description: partial 16S ribosomal RNA
Rfam family: Bacterial small subunit ribosomal RNA
Source: RNAcentral
UACGAAGGGGGCUAGCGUUGUUCGGAAUUACUGGGCGUAAAGGGCGCGUAGGCGGUGUGUCAAGUCAGGCGUGAAAGCCCCGGGCUCAACCUGGGAACCGCGCUUGAGACUGGCACGCUCGAGUUUGGGAGAGGAUGGUGGAAUUCCCAGUGUAGAGGUGAAAUUCGUAGAUAUUGGGAAGAACACCGAUGGCGAAGGCAGCCAUCUGGACCGACACUGACGCUGAGGUGCGAAAGCUAGGGGAGCAAACGGG